CCUACGGGGGGCUGCAGUGGGGAAUAUUGCACAAUGGGGGAAACCCUGAUGCAGCGACGCCGCGUGAAGGAAGAAGUAUCUCGGUAUGUAAACUUCUAUCAGCAGGGAAGAAAAUGACGGUACCUGACUAAGAAGCCCCGGCUAACUACGUGCCAGCAGCCGCGGUAAUACGUAGGGGGCAAGCGUUAUCCGGAUUUACUGGGUGUAAAGGGAGCGUAGACGGAAGGGCAAGUCUGGAGUGAAAGCCCGGGGCUCAACCCCGGGACUGCUUUGGAAACUGUCCGUCUUGAGUGCCGGAGAGGUAAGCGGAAUUCCUAGUGUAGCGGUGAAAUGCGUAGAUAUUAGGAGGAACACCAGUGGCGAAGGCGGCUUACUGGACGGUAACUGACGUUGAGGCUCGAAAGCGUGGGGAGCAAACAGGAUUAGAUACCCGGGUAGUC
This 440-nucleotide ribosomal RNA is filed under the name uncultured bacterium. RNAcentral describes it as "bacterial SSU rRNA". It matches the Rfam family "Bacterial small subunit ribosomal RNA", at positions 338 to 795 of the family's 1533-position model. The record is from RNAcentral.